RNAcentral lists this ribosomal RNA (485 nucleotides) under uncultured bacterium. RNAcentral's name for it is "partial 16S ribosomal RNA". It matches the Rfam family "Bacterial small subunit ribosomal RNA", at positions 29 to 523 of the family's 1533-position model. The record is from RNAcentral.
AGUGAACGCUGGCGGCGUGCUUAACACAUGCAAGUCGAACGAGAACGGAAUAUAGCUUGCUAUAUUUGUCAGCUAAGUGGCGCACGGGUGAGUAAUGUAUAGAUAACCUGCCCUUAAGAAAGGAAUAACAGUUGGAAACGACUGCUAAUGCCCUAUAUGCCUUUAAUACAUAAGUAUGCAAGGGAAACGCUUUAGUGCUUAAGGAUGGGUCUGUAUGGUAUCAGCUUGUUGGUGAGGUAAUGGCUCACCAAGGCUAUGACGCCUAACUGGUUUGGAGGGAUGAACAGUCACACUGGAACUGAGACACGGUCCCGACUCCUACGGGAGGCAGCAGUGGGGAAUAUUGCACAAUGGACGAAAGUCUGAUGCAGCAACGCCGCGUGGAGGAUGACACAUUUCGGUGCGAAAACUCCUUUUAUAUAGGAAGAUAAUGACGGUAUUAUAUGAAUAAGCACCGGCUAACUCCGUGCCAGCCGCCGCUGUAA